GGAAUAUUGGACAAUGGGCGAAAGCCUGAUCCAGCAAUGCCGCGUGAGUGAUGAAGGCCUUAGGGUUGUAAAGCUCUUUUACCAGGGAGGAUAAUGACAGUACCUGGAGAAUAAGCUCCGGAUAAAUCCGUGCCAGCAGCCGCGGUAAUACGGAGGGAGCUAGCGUUGUUCGUAAAUACUGGGCGUAAAGCGAACGUAGGCGUCAUAGCAAUUCAGGGUUGAAAUCCCGGGGCUCAACCCCGGAACUGCCCUUGAAACUGCUAAGCUAGAAUCCUGGAGAGGCGAGUGGAAUUCCGAGUGUAGAGGUGAAAUUCGUAGAUAUUCGGAAGAACACCAGUGGCGAAGGCGACUCGCUGGACAGGUAUUGACGCUGAGGUUCGAAAGCGUGGGGAGCAAAC
RNAcentral lists this ribosomal RNA (398 nucleotides) under uncultured bacterium. Its description in RNAcentral is "bacterial SSU rRNA". It matches the Rfam family "Bacterial small subunit ribosomal RNA", at positions 358 to 773 of the family's 1533-position model. The record is from RNAcentral.